RNAcentral lists this ribosomal RNA (247 nucleotides) under uncultured Desulfonispora sp. Its description in RNAcentral is "partial 16S ribosomal RNA". It matches the Rfam family "Bacterial small subunit ribosomal RNA", at positions 796 to 1041 of the family's 1533-position model. Lineage: Bacteria; Bacillati; Bacillota; Clostridia; Eubacteriales; Peptococcaceae. The record is from RNAcentral.
CACGCCGUAAACGAUGGGUACUAGGUGUUGGGGGUAUCGACUCCCUCAGUGCCGCAGUUAACACAUUAAGUACCCCGCCUGGGGAGUACGGUCGCAAGACUGAAACUCAAAGGAAUUGACGGGGGCCCGCACAAGCGGUGGAGCAUGUGGUUUAAUUCGACGCAACGCGAAGAACCUUACCAAGGCUUGACAUCCCUCUGGCCGCUCUUUAAUCGGAGCUUUUCUUCGGAACAGAGGAGACAGGUGG